UGGGGAAUUUUGCACAAUGGAGGAAACUCUGAUGCAGCGACGCCGCGUGAGUGAUGAAGAUCUUCGGAUUGUAAAACUCUGUCCUUAGUGAAGAUAAUGACAGUAACUAAGAAGCAAGCCCUGGCUAAAUACGUGCCAGCAGCCGCGGUAAUACGUAUGGGGCAAGCGUUGUCCGGAAUUAUUGGGCGUAAAGGGUACGUAGGCGGUUUAAUAAGUCCUAAUUAAAAGGCUAUGGCUCAACCAUAGUAUGGUUAGGAAACUGUUGAAGUUGAGUAAAUGGGGGGCAAGUCAAAUUCCAUGUGUAACGGUAAAAUGCGUAGAUAUAUGGAGGAACACCAAUGGCAAAGGCAACUUACUGGAAAAAAACAGACGCUCAGGUACGAAGGGGUCGGGAGCAAACAGG
This 403-nucleotide ribosomal RNA is filed under the name Fusobacteriota bacterium. RNAcentral's name for it is "Fusobacteria bacterium partial 16S ribosomal RNA". It matches the Rfam family "Bacterial small subunit ribosomal RNA", at positions 355 to 776 of the family's 1533-position model. Lineage: Bacteria; Fusobacteriati; Fusobacteriota. The record is from RNAcentral.